GUCGAAUUUGGACAGGCUGGCAAAGGCGACAUGGUUUACAUCCAUGUUCAGGCCCAUGCCGAUCGCAUCGGUCGCGACGAGGUAAUCGACU
Molecule: transfer RNA, 91 nt
Filed under: Komagataeibacter diospyri
Lineage: Bacteria; Pseudomonadati; Pseudomonadota; Alphaproteobacteria; Acetobacterales; Acetobacteraceae
Description: tRNA-Val
Source: RNAcentral